Long non-coding RNA from Corylus avellana, 793 nucleotides. RefSeq lists it as uncharacterized. NCBI's taxonomy places the organism in Eukaryota, Viridiplantae, Streptophyta, Magnoliopsida, Fagales, Betulaceae. The record is from RefSeq and is a predicted model, not a curated record.
UGAUAAAUGUUUAUCAGCUGAAGUUCCAUGGUUAGCAGGUUGGAUGCAGAAGGAUCUACUCCUUCAAAAUCCUCCACUGUCUCCGAGGAAAACAUAUUGCAAGCAUCACUUGUAUAACAAGGAUUUGAUCUUUAGAGGCCCAGUGAUCGAAGAGAUGCCAUGUGGGAAAAAUGGUAUGAUGAUGGACACAUUCCAGUUUAGACUCCUUGUGGCAAAGACCAUGGCAAACGAAUCAUGUUGAUAAUGACUCAAAUUGUCAACAAAUAUUUUUACGAAUUGCCUGGUCGUAAAAACACAACUAGUUUAGCAGAUUUUGCUUAAAAAGAUAUUUGUUGGGCAAUAGUUGCUGCUGAGGUUUUUGCAUGACUACAUCAAGAAGGAAGCAAUUUUAGAAGAGGGGCGUUAUUGCAAACUUAUAGGUAGAAAAAGGAAGCGAAGAAAAAGGAUACUGGAGCAGGUAUAGGAAGAAAGAAAAAAAAUUCUCAUUUUUUUUUCUUUUUUAUUUAUUCUAAUUCUCCUUCUUGUAGAUGAGAAAUUUUAUAUUUGUGGGUGGAUAUGAAAGUGUGGAUCACAAAGAUGAAGAAGCAAUCAUGGAAAGAAAUAAAGAAGACCUAUUUACGGGUUCAAUUUAUGAGGGUCCGAUACAAGACCCGAAUCCAGAAGAAAAAACAUUAUAUCACACGGUGCUACUAAUAGGAUUUUGAAGCAAGUAUGGCAAAAACGUUUGGAUCAUCAAAAACAAUUGGGACAAAAAAUAGUUGGCUAUGCAAAAAUUGUUGUGUGUGUUUUUUUU